Small nucleolar RNA from Oncorhynchus gorbuscha (pink salmon), 257 nucleotides. RefSeq annotates it as small nucleolar RNA SNORA23. NCBI's taxonomy places the organism in Eukaryota, Metazoa, Chordata, Actinopteri, Salmoniformes, Salmonidae. The transcript has a single exon. The record is from RefSeq and is a predicted model, not a curated record.
GUUGUAGAGUGUGUGUGUGUGUGUGUGGUUGUAGAGUGUGUGUGUGUGUGUGUGUGUGGUUGUAGACACACACACACACACUGUACAACCACACACACACACACACACACACACUCUACAACCACACACACACACACUGUAGUGUGUGUGUGGUUGUAGAGUGUGUGUGUGUGGUUGUAGACACACACACUGUGUGUGUGUGGUUGUAGAGUCUACAACCACACACACACACACACACUCUACAACCACACACACAC